AUGUAUCACACAUACACUCCGGUUCCUGCGCUUCGGGCGCGACUGGCUGACACCCGCUCGCUACGGUUCUUGGAG
RNAcentral lists this small RNA (75 nucleotides) under Thiobacillus sp. RNAcentral's name for it is "sX9 sRNA". It matches the Rfam family "Xanthomonas sRNA sX9". The record is from RNAcentral. Lineage: Bacteria; Pseudomonadati; Pseudomonadota; Betaproteobacteria; Nitrosomonadales; Thiobacillaceae.